This 484-nucleotide ribosomal RNA is filed under the name uncultured bacterium. Its description in RNAcentral is "partial 16S ribosomal RNA". It matches the Rfam family "Bacterial small subunit ribosomal RNA", at positions 29 to 523 of the family's 1533-position model. The record is from RNAcentral.
AAUGAACGCUGGCGGCGUGCUUAACACAUGCAAGUCGAAUGAGAACGGGUUAUAGCUUGCUAUAAUUGUCAGCUAAGUGGCGCACGGGUGAGUAAUGUAUAGGUAAUAUGCCUCUUACUAAGGGAUAACAAAUGGAAACGUUUGCUAAUACCUUAUACUCCUUAUUAACAUAAGUUAAUAAGGGAAAGAUUUAUUGGUAAGAGAUUAGCCUGUAUUGUAUCAGUUAGUUGGUGGGGUAAUGGCUUACCAAGACUAUGACACAUAACUGGUUUGAGAGGAUGAUCAGUCACACUGGAACUGAGACACGGUCCGGACUCCUACGGGAGGCAGCAGUGGGGAAUAUUGCACAAUGGACGAAAGUCUGAUGCAGCAACGCCGCGUGGAGGAUGACACAUUUCGGUGCGUAACCUCCUUUUAUAUGAGAAGAUAAUGACGGUAUUAUAUGAAUAAGCACCGGCUAACUCCGUGCCAGCAGCCGCCGCCG